Molecule: ribosomal RNA, 927 nt
Filed under: Staphylococcus epidermidis
Lineage: Bacteria; Bacillati; Bacillota; Bacilli; Caryophanales; Staphylococcaceae
Description: bacterial SSU rRNA
Rfam family: Bacterial small subunit ribosomal RNA
Source: RNAcentral
AACGCUGGCGGCGUGCCUAAUACAUGCAAGUCGAGCGAACAGACGAGGAGCUUGCUCCUCUGACGUUAGCGGCGGACGGGUGAGUAACACGUGGAUAACCUACCUAUAAGACUGGGAUAACUUCGGGAAACCGGAGCUAAUACCGGAUAAUAUAUUGAACCGCAUGGUUCAAUAGUGAAAGACGGUUUUGCUGUCACUUAUAGAUGGAUCCGCGCCGCAUUAGCUAGUUGGUAAGGUAACGGCUUACCAAGGCAACGAUGCGUAGCCGACCUGAGAGGGUGAUCGGCCACACUGGAACUGAGACACGGUCCAGACUCCUACGGGAGGCAGCAGUAGGGAAUCUUCCGCAAUGGGCGAAAGCCUGACGGAGCAACGCCGCGUGAGUGAUGAAGGUCUUCGGAUCGUAAAACUCUGUUAUUAGGGAAGAACAAAUGUGUAAGUAACUAUGCACGUCUUGACGGUACCUAAUCAGAAAGCCACGGCUAACUACGUGCCAGCAGCCGCGGUAAUACGUAGGUGGCAAGCGUUAUCCGGAAUUAUUGGGCGUAAAGCGCGCGUAGGCGGUUUUUUAAGUCUGAUGUGAAAGCCCACGGCUCAACCGUGGAGGGUCAUUGGAAACUGGAAAACUUGAGUGCAGAAGAGGAAAGUGGAAUUCCAUGUGUAGCGGUGAAAUGCGCAGAGAUAUGGAGGAACACCAGUGGCGAAGGCGACUUUCUGGUCUGUAACUGACGCUGAUGUGCGAAAGCGUGGGGAUCAAACAGGAUUAGAUACCCUGGUAGUCCACGCCGUAAACGAUGAGUGCUAAGUGUUAGGGGGUUUCCGCCCCUUAGUGCUGCAGCUAACGCAUUAAGCACUCCGCCUGGGGAGUACGACCGCAAGGUUGAAACUCAAAGGAAUUGACGGGGACCCGCACAAGCGGUGGAGCAU